GUAGUGUUUUCAUAAGCGAGUGCCGUGUUCAUAAAAAAGUAACAAGCAGGAACAAGAAAGCAGGAGGAGGAGGACCAGGGUGACAACGGGCAACGGCGGAGCAACCACAAAGUCGACGUUGAAAACUCCGCUGCUGCGCAUCGUGUGUCGGUGAGUGACAAAUUUUAUUUUAAUCCAGUAAUAAAUCUCUGUUAAAUAUAUUGACAGACAUUUAUUACUCCAGAUAUUGAUAGAGAUCAAAUUUAAAAUAGAUGCGCUACGCGCUGAUAUCCAUAUUUAAUCCUGGAAAGUAUUUCGAGCCAACAAUUUAUUGCACGUAAAUAUACACUUCAGUACGUAAAAUGAAACUCGUUAUAUUAAUCUGUUAGCGCGUAUUUUGGUGAACGUUACGAAAAAAGCAUAGAGUUCGUAAAUUAUAUUUCACUCGUCUGAGAUUUGUAGAAUAAAUAUGCGCGUGUAAAAAAAUAUAUUCUUAUACAAUUUUUGCCGAGCGCUUACACCCGCAAAAUUUUCAAAAAAUUGAGAAUAUCCGGAGAUAUUUUUCAUUAUAAACUUUAUUAUAUAUAAAAUAUAAAAAAUAAUUGCACUUUUCAGUACUUACAUUAUAACUUUUAAAUUAAAUUAAAUUUUUGAGUUUAUUACUUAUUUACAAGACAGUGAAAUAAAACGUACGUCUAUUAAUCUGGCACAGCCAUUUCCGCACAAUCAAAUGCGACUUAUACAGGAAUUAUUUGCUAUUUUCUUGCUAAUUUUUUGGUCUAUUUACGAUUUUUUAGCGAAACGGCUAAAAAUGCUAAAUGGGACAAAAAAUCAGUAAAAAGUAGCACUACUAAAAUGCGUAUUUGUUUUCUAAUUUUCUUCUUUUUUCUUAAUGACUGUGCUAAUUUUAAUCUUAAGCUAGCACAGCCGUUGUUUUUAGUAAAAUGACUGGAAUAAAAAAAUCGUAAAUAGAGCAAAAAAGUUAGCAAAAAGAUAAUAAAUAAUUCCUAUAUGUCACAUUUGAUUAUGCUAAAAUGGCUGUGCUAGCUAAUAAACGUACUAAAUCCUGGCGAGAUUUUUCGAGCCGAGUUAUUUUAAAGAAUUUACUCCCCUCCACCUUUCCCGCUCGUCAAAAAUUAGAAGUCCUCUAUCGAAAAAGUUAUCGUACAGUCUAUUUCUAUAAAACGUUUCGCUACAUUUUUUUAAAACUUCAAGGUGAUCGCUAGUGGUGUUUCUUUACCACCCAGCGUCAACCUUGCGGUAGUGUGUAUCGAUCCGCGAUUACAAGCGCGCUCGAAAUUCUAAGGACCUCGAAAAACGCGACACGUGCGCGCGCAAGGGAGUUGGGACAAAUUGCCGAUAUAAUCGGUUGUACACGUGCCAGACCUGAUAUUUGAAACAACGCUGGCUCUGCACAGAUAGAGCGUGACUGUCCGACGCCCCGCGGAGUGUAUUUACAAAAUCGUGCGCGUAUAAACAACACUCGCAUCGAGCCGUUAUUUGCGAGUCAAAUAACGCGUGAAUCGAAUGGAAAUCGUGGGAGUGCGAAAAAAGAGAAGUUUUGCAUCAUCACAAAUAGGAUACUUUCUCUCUCUCUCUCUCUCUCUCUCUCUCUCUCUCUCUCUC
Long non-coding RNA from Solenopsis invicta (red fire ant), 1605 nucleotides. RefSeq lists it as uncharacterized. Lineage: Eukaryota; Metazoa; Arthropoda; Insecta; Hymenoptera; Formicidae. The record is from RefSeq and is a predicted model, not a curated record. The transcript is spliced from 2 exons.